This 1015-nucleotide long non-coding RNA is filed under the name Gadus morhua (Atlantic cod). RNAcentral's name for it is "lncRNA (ENSGMOG00000024305.1)". The record is from RNAcentral. Lineage: Eukaryota; Metazoa; Chordata; Actinopteri; Gadiformes; Gadidae.
GUCAUAGCCAGGCACCUUCAUAGGACACCAGAGACAGAUAGACACACAUGAUCACAUCAGCACACACCAUUAUCUUAGCCUCCCGGAUGGAGGCAAAGAUGUGUGUGUGUGUGCAUGUAUGUAUGUAUGUAGUAUGUGUGUGUGUGUGUGUGUGUGUGUGUGUGUGUAGAUGUGAAGAUGGAUGACCUGUGAACCUUUUGUGCAUUUUUGCAGUGUUGGCAGGAAGGACAGAUGACACCUGGGAAGGCUUUUUUCUGGUGUGUAUGUUCUUGUGUGUGUUUGUGUGUGUGUCUGUGUCAUGUGCGCACGUGGUUGAUUGAAUGAGCAAUCACACAGUGAGACCUUGGCAAGGAUGUUGCAUGAGCACGGCAAUGACCCCUGAAGGGCAAGGACUACUGGACUGCAGCUCUUCCUGCAUCCCUGAGCAGUGGCCGGUUCCAUCACCACUGUCGCUCAUCGGCACCACCAAGAUUCAAGUGAAUGCCCUUGCCCAUUCGACGGACUUCAUUUGGAACAUUGCUGAAGGCCAGACAAGGGUAUGGCCCGUCCCUCCAUCUCAGACGGCUUUAUCCCAACGUGAGCCAGGUUGUGGACGUGGAUCAUCAGGCUUGGCUAUGACAAACAUUCCAAGGGUUAUUGGCACAAAACUGAAGAAGAUGGAGUGUUUUCGUCUGGGGAACAGAAAACACUCAGGAAGAGUUGGCCAGAGGAGCAUGCUCUAGAUGAAUCGUGCGAUUCAGCCCACAAACGUGUAUUAUAUUUUAGCUGUAUCAUUUUUGCUGCAUAGCGUUUAAGUUGGUAAGAUUCACACCAGUCUAUUUCCAAUAGAACGAUGUGUGAUUAAAUAACAAAGGAGUCAAGAAACAUUUAUUCACUCCGGCCUUAUGAACGGCAAAUCAAGAAGUGUUCUCAAUGUUUGGUGCUGCUGGCGAUGCUUUGACGCUUCAAUAGUUCCUUGAAGGCAAUGGAUGCAAGUUAACUUUUUUUGUUGGUUUCAUAUCGUUUUUGAUAAAGA